CAGUCGCCACGGUAAUACGUAGGGUGCAAGCGUUAAUCGGAAUUACUGGGCGUAAAGCGUGCGCAGGCGGUUAUAUAAGACAGAUGUGAAAUCCCCGGGCUCAACCUGGGAACUGCAUUUGUGACUGUAUAGCUAGAGUACGGCAGAGGGGGAUGGAAUUCCGCGUGUAGCAGUGAAAUGCGUAGAUAUGCGGAGGAACACCGAUGGCGAAGGCAAUCCCCUGGGCCUGUACUGACGCUCAUGCACGAAAGCGUGGGGAGCAAACAGGAUUAGAUCCCCUGUAGUCCCUGUCUCUUAUACA
Molecule: ribosomal RNA, 301 nt
Filed under: uncultured bacterium
Lineage: Bacteria
Description: partial 16S ribosomal RNA
Rfam family: Bacterial small subunit ribosomal RNA
Source: RNAcentral